Tyto alba (common barn owl) is the source of this 2495-nucleotide long non-coding RNA. RefSeq lists it as uncharacterized. The record is from RefSeq and is a predicted model, not a curated record. The transcript has 2 exons. NCBI's taxonomy places the organism in Eukaryota, Metazoa, Chordata, Aves, Strigiformes, Tytonidae.
GGCUCGGCUGCUCCCUGGCCGCCCUUCGCCAAGGAAACGCGGGCGACCUCGUUUUACAGCCCGGCCUAGAAGCAGGAGUGCAGAGACGUUUAAGCGGGCAAGUCGUGAGCAAACACAGGGAGCCUCUGGGGAUUUGGGUCAGGGAGAGCCGGUAAACGCUUUACUCGAUCCUUUGUGAGUUAAACUAAAGCAUGGGAUUAGCAUCCAUUCUGCAGGUUUAAUGAAGUUUAAACUGAUGCAGCCUGCCUUUCGUUCGCUUGAACUUUCUGGAGUGCCCCAGGGUGGGGAACUUCAGAGGACGCCUGGCUGAAGUCACUCGAGCGGCCUCUGGCCGAGCCCGGACUGCCAAGCUCACCAGGGACUGCUGCUUCCCUUCCCUGCCUGCAGAGAAAACGUUCAUCUGUAGUUACUCGGACAGACCUAGCCUCAGUGUGCUUCCAGGGAAAACCAGGCGUUGUUCCUGACAAUAUGCAAAGUGUUAUUUAAAAUCGGCCUGAAAUUUGGGCUGUUUCAACAACCUUUUUAUAAAAACAAAGUACGAGCUCCACAUAGUAUUAAUUUUUAAAAGCUCGGCACUUGUGAAAGCAGCAUUCUUUAUGCCAAGAUUUUUUUACUCUCAUAGGACAGAGGUAACCAAAUCUAACAAAGCACGUGGAGCAAAAACUCAAGAUUUACCCAGUUAUUUGAGGAAUUAUCUCAUUUUACCUUCUAUUUUAAUAACAAACUGCUCUUCUCACUUCCUUGUAUUGAACAGGCUGAUCUCACCGGUAAGGUAUUUUUCCACUCAAGCAUCUGCCAGCCAACUUGGAGCAAGACUGCAGGACCAGGCCGGGUUCUUUUAUUGUAUAAGCAGUAAUUAAGAUCCCAGAUGUUGCUGCUCUGCACCUGUACAGCUUUAUUUUUGUCAGCAGGGCAGGCGCUGCUGUAACUGCAGCUGGAGCGUGACACAGCAGCAUUGCUUACUGCAUCGCUUACUGCAUUCUGCUGAUGUGACAGUUGCCUGCUUGUAAACUGUAGCCCUGUAUCAGAUGGUGUCACCGUUAGUAACAGGCCACCUGCUUUGCCACUGAGUUUGCAAGGCCUCAGCACUGAGUCAUGCCAGGCUUGCUUCAGCUGAACACUUGCUGACCUGCCUACAAGUUUGCCUUUAGCUUGGUUUAGCUCUAACAGCAUUUUUUCAUCUGACCACAUGGUUAUAGAUGUUUUGGUUUUACUUCUGCUUAUCCUUGUAUGGCACCACUGUAGUUGUGUACAGACAGGAGUAACGAGUACUUGUUCUGUGCAGAACAAGGUACUUACAACUGAAAUAAUGAUGUAGUGUGGAGAAAUACAGGCCUGGGAUGAUAGCAGAGGCCUUGGGAGGUGGAGACACAGGAUGCAGUGGGGAGGACUACAGGCACAAGAUGACAAAAGAUGAGGCACAGGCUUGGUACUGGAGGCUACGCAGCUAUAAACAAAUCAACAGUUGUUUUCUGUUAAAAAGAAAUACAGACCUAGAGUUAGACAGAACCACCUCUUUAUGGAUAACAGAACAAAGAAUAAGUUUCUAGUAUAUGCAAGAUACAUCAAAUAUGGUAGAUUUGGCUAUCACAUGAAAUUGCAAACCAGUGAUAAAGCAGCAAGAUGUGAAAGCCUGCUGGCAAAUGUAAAAAAGACCCCAAGUGGAUCCAGGAGUGACAAAGAUGCAGCAAUCAAUACCACAUUCCUCCCAGCAAAAGACCCCCAUGCGCUGGUGACCAGACUUAGCACCCCUACUGCCGGGCUGAAACCACCAACCUGAAGACCCUGAGAAGCAGCAGCAGGAUGAACGUUAACACCAGGAAAGAGAGAAGAAGCUAGAAACCAUUCUGAGGGUAGCGUGCUUUAAGCCUACUCUACAUUGUCGUGGUAGUACUCAAAGUGCACUGAGUUACAGAUGCCUGAUGAAGGUCCUUGCAUGUGGAGGAGGUUCCAGACUACAGCUCACUUUUCCUGAAGAAAAGACAGCCAAAAAAAUUUUAAGUAGUAAGAAGAGAAUUUAACAAGAUUUAAAAGUUGUCAUGGUAAUGUACUCUUACAUGUAAAUUAGUCUACGAAUUUAGGCAACUGAUACUAAGAGCUGCCAACUGUUUAAGGAUUAUUUUUUUUUUGUAGGAAAAAUUGCAAGUGUUGCGAUUAUUUGGUUUUUUUUUAUUUAAUUGUUUUAAAAAGUAUACGUUUCUUAUUGGCAGAACAGCAGAUUAUUUGCUGAAUUUAACUGAAGAUGUUUAUGUAUUUCUUUGAAAGAAUCUCUGUAUUCUUGUAAACCAACUCUUCCUGUCUCCUCACUUCUGUGGAUUUAUAUUUAUAUCCUGGGCAAACUUGGCACUCUGUGAUGUUAAAAAGCAUGUCUAAAAUUCAUACAAUCAUUUAGCUUUCCCAGUGAGGAGGGGGCAGGAAAGGAAUCAAAGAGGUUUUUGCAAUUAUUUCUACAAAUUGCAGUAACACCUUUAAAAUAAAGUUUAAAAUUAAUUAAA